CAAUAGCGUAUAUUAAAGUUGUUGCGGUUAAAAAGCUCGUAGUUGGAUUUCUGCCGAGGACGACCGGUCCGCCCUCUGGGUGAGUAUCUGGUUCGGCCUGGGCAUCUUCUUGGAGAACGUAUCUGCACUUGACUGUGUGGUGCGGUAUCCAGGACUUUUACUUUGAGGAAAUUAGAGUGUUUCAAGCAGGCGUACGACCUCGUAUAACAUUAGUCAUGGAGUAAUAGAGAUAGGACCUUGGUUCUAUUUUGUUGGUUUCUAGAGCUGAGGUAAUGAUUAAUAGGGAUAGUUGGGGGCGAUUCGUAUUUAAUUGUCAGAGGUGAAAUUUUUGGAUUUAUUAAAGACGGACUACUGCGAAAGCAUUUGCCAAGGAUGUUUUCAUUGAUCAAGAACGAAAGUUAGGGGAUCGAAGACGAUUAGAUACCGU
Molecule: ribosomal RNA, 427 nt
Filed under: uncultured eukaryote
Lineage: Eukaryota
Description: SSU rRNA
Rfam family: Eukaryotic small subunit ribosomal RNA
Source: RNAcentral